RNAcentral lists this long non-coding RNA (250 nucleotides) under Ananas comosus (pineapple). RNAcentral's name for it is "long non-coding RNA (ACOM_LNC008881)". The record is from RNAcentral. Lineage: Eukaryota; Viridiplantae; Streptophyta; Magnoliopsida; Poales; Bromeliaceae.
AAUUACCGCCAUCUAUUCAUCAUUAUAGCCGCCCUCGAAACUCGCUUUGAUGGGACGGUUCGACGCGACAGCCUUUUCUUCUUCACCAGGCUUCUCAUUCUUUUUUAUAGCUUUUUGUCAUCAGGCUUCAUCAUUUUCGCCCUCUAUCUUUCUUCAUUUUCUUCGCCUUCUCUGUUUCUCUUCGCCUCCUCCAUUCUCCAUCUCUCGUUCAUAGCUUCUGCUCAUUCUCUUCUUCCUUAGCUCCUUUUCG